GAUGAACGCUGGCGGCGUGCCUAAUACAUGCAAGUAGAACGCUGAAGCUUGGUGCUUGCACCGAGCGGAUGAGUUGCGAACGGGUGAGUAACGCGUAGGUAACCUGCCUGGUAGCGGGGGAUAACUAUUGGAAACGAUAGCUAAUACCGCAUGACAACAGUUAUUGCAUGAUAGCUGUUUAAAAGGGGCAAUUGCUCCACUACCAGAUGGACCUGCGUUGUAUUAGCUAGUUGGUGAGGUAACGGCUCACCAAGGCGACGAUACAUAGCCGACCUGAGAGGGUGAUCGGCCACACUGGGACUGAGACACGGCCCAGACUCCUACGGGAGGCAGCAGUAGGGAAUCUUCGGCAAUGGACGGAAGUCUGACCGAGCAACGCCGCGUGAGUGAAGAAGGUUUUCGGAUCGUAAAGCUCUGUUGUAAGAGAAGAACGAGUGUGAGAGUGGAAAGUUCACACUGUGACGGUAUCUUACCAGAAAGG
This 481-nucleotide ribosomal RNA is filed under the name Streptococcus sp. oral taxon 074. RNAcentral describes it as "bacterial SSU rRNA". It matches the Rfam family "Bacterial small subunit ribosomal RNA", at positions 28 to 491 of the family's 1533-position model. The record is from RNAcentral. Lineage: Bacteria; Bacillati; Bacillota; Bacilli; Lactobacillales; Streptococcaceae.